This is a long non-coding RNA of Temnothorax curvispinosus, 799 nucleotides long. RefSeq lists it as uncharacterized. Lineage: Eukaryota; Metazoa; Arthropoda; Insecta; Hymenoptera; Formicidae. The transcript is spliced from 4 exons. The record is from RefSeq and is a predicted model, not a curated record.
CCAAAGUGUGUGUUUGUCGGAGAUAUUGCCAUCAAAUACAACUGAUUCAGAGCUCAAUGAAGCUGAAGCGAUCGAAUUGCUUUCAGAAGAGAAAACAAACUAACUGGUACGAGUGUCGAUUAUACAUGUUCCAACGAGCCACAGCUAGCAGCACAAAGUAAAAGAAAUGAUGAUGUCUUUUCUCCGGAGCUUCUUUCGCAGACAACCUAUUUCUCUUGAAAACAUUGGAACCCUUUGCUUUGUCGAGGAAAUUGUUCAUUUAUCGAAAACAUUGCCGGCAAAUAAUGCGAGUGAAGAGUCCAGUCAGACUGAAGAGUGCGAAAUGUUUCCGGCAACUGAUAACAACACACUAACCUAUUCGUUGAUCAGAUGUCCUCAAAUACCACAUUAAAAACUAUGCCAACAAAACUUUCUGCAAGUGUUUCGCAACACUCUGAUGCAUUUAAAAACUUGGCUAUUCUAAGCAUCACUCCGACUUCUCUAACAAAUUUAACAGUUUCUGAGGAAGAUAACAGUGCCGAUUUUAAUAAUAGCGUAUGAGAUUGGGACGAUAUUGCGUUUAAUGUUUAUAAAUCUGUGCUUCCAUAACAAAAACAAAAUAAUGACGUUGACGAAAGAAAAGACACAGAGCUUCCGAUUCCAAAUUGUCGUACAAGCGAAGAUGCUAAUCGAUUGAUUAGCGAGGUCCCUAACAAGCCCGAUCUUUCUGAUAAGGAGAACGACAGUCGCAGCUCUGUCGUCUCUAAUAACUCCAGCAAUUUUUCGUACGUGCCUGAUUUUGAAAGUUCGAAUGGUAGCA